RNAcentral lists this ribosomal RNA (352 nucleotides) under uncultured bacterium. Its description in RNAcentral is "partial 16S ribosomal RNA". It matches the Rfam family "Bacterial small subunit ribosomal RNA", at positions 338 to 687 of the family's 1533-position model. The record is from RNAcentral.
CCUACGGGAGGCUGCAGUGAGGAAUAUUGGUCAAUGGGCGCGAGCCUGAACCAGCCAAGUAGCGUGAAGGAUGACUGCCCUACGGGUUUUAAACUUCUUUUAUAAAGGAAUCAAGUGAGGCACGUGUGCCUUUUUGUCUGUACUUUAUGAAUAAGGAUCGGCUAACUCCGUGCCAGCAGCCGCGGUAAUACGGAGGAUCCGAGCGUUAUCCGGAGUUAUUGGGUUUAAAGGGAGCGUAGAUGGGUUGUUAAGUCAGUUGGGAAAGUUUGCGGCACAACCGUAAAAUUGCAAUUGAUACGGGUAGUCAUGAGUACAGUUGAGGUAGGCGGAAUUCGUGGUGUAGCGGUGAAAU